CCUACGGGGGGCAGCAGUGGGGAAUAUUGCACAAUGGGGGAAACCCUGAUGCAGCGACGCCGCGUGAGUGAAGAAGUAAUUCGUUACGUAAAGCUCUAUCAGCAGGGAAGAAAAUGACGGUACCUGAGCAAGAAGCACUGGCUAACUACGUGCCAGCAGCCGCGGGAUUACGCAGGGGGCAAGCGUUAUCCGGAUUUACUGGGUGUAAAGGGAGCGUAGACGGUAUGUCAAGUCUGGGGUGAAAUCCCGCAGCUUAACGGGGGAACUGCUUUGGAAACUGGCGAACUGGAGUGCGGGAGGGGUAAGUGGAAUUGCUAGUGUAGCGGUGAAAUGCGUAGAUAUUAGGAGGAACACCAGUGGCGAAGGCGACUAACUGGACCGUAACUGACGUUGAGGCGCGAAAGCGUGGGGAGCAAACAGGAUUAGAUACCCCGGUAGUC
RNAcentral lists this ribosomal RNA (440 nucleotides) under uncultured bacterium. Its description in RNAcentral is "partial 16S ribosomal RNA". It matches the Rfam family "Bacterial small subunit ribosomal RNA", at positions 338 to 795 of the family's 1533-position model. The record is from RNAcentral.